AGGGUUCGAUUCUGGCUCAGGAUGAACGCUGGCGGCGUGCCUAACACAUGCAAGUCGAGCGAUUACUUCGGUAAAGAGCGGCGGACGGGUGAGUAACGCGUGGGUAACCUGCCUCAUACACAUGGAUAACAUACCGAAAGGUAUGCUAAUACAGGAUAAUAUAAGAGAUUCACAUGGAUUUCUUAUCAAAGCUCCGGCGGUAUGAGAUGGACCCGCGUCUGAUUAGCUAGUUGGUAAGGUAAUGGCUUACCAAGGCGACGAUCAGUAGCCGACCUGAGAGGGUGAUCGGCCACAUUGGAACUGAGACACGGUCCAAACUCCUACGGGAGGCAGCAGUGGGGAAUAUUGCACAAUGGGCGAAAGCCUGAUGCAGCAACGCCGCGUGAGUGAUGAAGGCCUUCGGGUCGUAAAACUCUGUCCUCAAGGAAGAUAAUGACGGUACUUGAGGAGGAAGCCCCGGCUAACUACGUGCCAGCAGCCGC
RNAcentral lists this ribosomal RNA (482 nucleotides) under uncultured bacterium. Its description in RNAcentral is "bacterial SSU rRNA". It matches the Rfam family "Bacterial small subunit ribosomal RNA", at positions 8 to 518 of the family's 1533-position model. The record is from RNAcentral.